AAGAUCGUUUCAAAUUUCAACUGACAAUAUGGGCCACGCUGCAGAAAAUGUUCAAGAAGUCGGUGAAAUUAAAGCACUAUGUAAGUUGAGAAGAUAUCCAGAGACCCUGUUGCUGGGUGGAGCUGUCUUGUUACUGUACGCAACCCCCAUGUCUGAAAAUAAGUGGAACUAGUCGGUUUCUGAAGCAAAGAAGAUGGCCAGGACUCCUUGCUGAUAGAUGGGAGCCAGAUAGAGUUGGUAGAGGUGAG
This is a long non-coding RNA of Engraulis encrasicolus (European anchovy), 248 nucleotides long. RefSeq lists it as uncharacterized. The record is from RefSeq and is a predicted model, not a curated record. NCBI's taxonomy places the organism in Eukaryota, Metazoa, Chordata, Actinopteri, Clupeiformes, Engraulidae. The transcript has 3 exons.